CACUCCGGUCCUUUUGACUCUGUUAAAUGGCUAGUCCAAGGUAAAGGAAAUUCAAAAAAAAAGCAGAGAAGAUCAAAGAAAUGGAACCUAGAGAGAGAAGAAAAGCUUAGCGAGGAGAUCAGGAAUGAGGCGGAGAUCGACGGCAUUCCAAAGGUAAGACGACGACGAGAUUCCUCUGAGAAUCGGGUACAAGAACGUAUUGUCGCCGCAGUUAACGGAAGAGUCCCUGAGGACGAAUAAAUUGAAAAGGCUCUUUCUCACCUGCAGCAAAGGAGGUGGUGACCAAGUGAAGACCUUUAUGGCCUUACUACCAUGGUAUCUCUGGAAUAGAUUUUGCUUUCCUCUCUAGGAGGCUUUAGGUAAUGCAACGACCUCAGUCAGGGACU
This 386-nucleotide long non-coding RNA is filed under the name Solanum melongena (eggplant). RNAcentral describes it as "long non-coding RNA (SMEL_LNC000031)". The record is from RNAcentral. Lineage: Eukaryota; Viridiplantae; Streptophyta; Magnoliopsida; Solanales; Solanaceae.